Molecule: ribosomal RNA, 519 nt
Filed under: uncultured eukaryote
Lineage: Eukaryota
Description: SSU rRNA
Rfam family: Eukaryotic small subunit ribosomal RNA
Source: RNAcentral
AGGGCACCACCAGGAGUGGAGCCUGCGGCUUAAUUUGACUCAACACGGGAAAACUCACCCGGCCCGGACACUGGAAGGAUUGACAGAUUGAGAGCUCUUUCUUGAUUCAGUGGGUGGUGGUGCAUGGCCGUUCUUAGUUGGUUGAGCGAUUUGUCUGGUUAAUUCCGAUAACGAACGAGACUCUAGCCUACUAAAUAGAUCGUCGGCUUACAAACGCCGAUGAGACUUCUUAGAGGGACAGGCGGCGAUUCAGCCGCACGAAACAGAGCAAUAACAGGUCUGUGAUGCCCUUAGAUGUCCGGGGCCGCACGCGCGCUACACUGAAGUGAUCAGCGUGCAUUUUCAGCCUACUCUGCCAAGAGUGGGAAACCCAAUGAACCUUCUUCGUGAUUGGGAUAGGGGAUUGUAAUUAUUCCCCUUGAACGAGGAAUUCCCAGUAAGCGCGAGUCAUAAGCUCGCGUUGAUUACGUCCCUGCCCUUUGUACACACCGCCCGUCGCUACUACCGAUUGAAUGUUUU